CCUACGGGAGGCAGCAGUGGGGAAUAUUGGGCAAUGGAGGAAACUCUGACCCAGCAAUGCCGCGUGAAUGAAGAAGGUCUUCGGAUGGUAAAGUUCUUUAGUCAGGGAAGAAUAAAAUGACGGUACCUAAAGACUAAGCUCCGGCUAACUUCGUGACAGCAGCCGCGGGAAUACGUAGGGAGCAAGCGUCGUUCGGAAUGACUGGGUGUAAGGGGUGCGUAGGCGGUUAUACAAGUUAGAAGUGAAAUACCCAGGGCUUAACUUGGGUGCUGCUUCUAAAACUGUAAGACUUGAGUGCAGAAGAGGUUAGAGGAAUUACUAGUGUAGCGGUGGAAUGCGGAGAUAUUAGGAGGAACACCAGAUGCGAAGGCGGCUAACGGGACUGCAAUUGACGCUGAGGCACGAAAGUGUGGGGAGCAAACAGGAUUAGAUACCCGAGUAGUC
RNAcentral lists this ribosomal RNA (444 nucleotides) under uncultured bacterium. RNAcentral's name for it is "partial 16S ribosomal RNA". It matches the Rfam family "Bacterial small subunit ribosomal RNA", at positions 338 to 795 of the family's 1533-position model. The record is from RNAcentral.